GAUGAACGCUGGCGGCGCGCCUAACACAUGCAAGUCGAACGGCACCCCCCCUCGGAGGGACGCGAGUGGCGAACGGCUGAGUAACACGUGGAGAACCUGCCCCCUCCCCCGGGAUAGCCGCCCGAAAGGACGGGUAAUACCGGAUACCCCGGGGUGCCGCAUGGCACCCCGGCUAAAGCCCCGACGGGAGGGGAUGGCUCCGCGGCCCAUCAGGUAGACGGCGGGGUGACGGCCCACCGUGCCGACAACGGGUAGCCGGGUUGAGAGACCGACCGGCCAGAUUGGGACUGAGACACGGCCCAGACUCCUACGGGAGGCAGCAGUGGGGAAGCUUGCGCAAUGGGGGGAACCCUGACGCAGCGACGCCGCGUGCGGGACGGAGGCCUUCGGGUCGGAAACCGCUUUCAGCAGGGAAGAGUCAAGACUGUACCUGCAGAAGAAGCCCCGGCUAACUACGUG
RNAcentral lists this ribosomal RNA (459 nucleotides) under uncultured bacterium. RNAcentral's name for it is "partial 16S ribosomal RNA". It matches the Rfam family "Bacterial small subunit ribosomal RNA", at positions 28 to 507 of the family's 1533-position model. The record is from RNAcentral.